RNAcentral lists this ribosomal RNA (253 nucleotides) under uncultured bacterium. Its description in RNAcentral is "partial 16S ribosomal RNA". It matches the Rfam family "Bacterial small subunit ribosomal RNA", at positions 524 to 776 of the family's 1533-position model. The record is from RNAcentral.
UACGGAGGGGGCUAGCGUUGUUCGGAAUUACUGGGCGUAAAGCGCGCGUAGGCGGCUUUGUAAGUUAGAGGUGAAAGCCCGGAGCUCAACUCCGGAACUGCCUUUAAGACUGCAUCGCUAGAAUGUCGGAGAGGUAAGUGGAAUUCCGAGUGUAGAGGUGAAAUUCGUAGAUAUUCGGAAGAACACCAGUGGCGAAGGCGACUUACUGGACGACUGUUGACGCUGAGGUGCGAAAGCGUGGGGAGCAAACAGG